This 72-nucleotide transfer RNA is filed under the name Bos taurus (domestic cattle). It matches the Rfam family "tRNA". Rfam says of the family: Transfer RNA (tRNA) molecules are approximately 80 nucleotides in length. Their secondary structure includes four short double-helical elements and three loops (D, anti-codon, and T loops). RNAcentral also lists the same sequence under 5 other names. The record is from Rfam by way of RNAcentral. Lineage: Eukaryota; Metazoa; Chordata; Mammalia; Artiodactyla; Bovidae.
UCCCUUGUAGCUCAGUCAGUAAAGAAUCUGCCUGCAGUGCAGAAGACCCGGGUUUGAACCCUGGGUUGGGAA